CUCACACUCUGCUGGUAUUGAUGGAUGGUAUAAGUCUCACUCUGCUGGUAUUGAUGGCUGGUAUAGGUCACACUCUGCUGGUAUUGAUGGAUGGUAUAGGUCUCACACUCUGCUGGUAUUGAUGGAUGGUAUAGGUCACACUCUGCUGGUAUUGAUGGAUGGUAUAGGUCUCUCUCUGCUGGUAUUGAUGGCUGGUACAGGUCUCACUCUGCUGGUAUUGAUGGAUGGUAUAGGUCUCACUCUGCUGGUAUUGAUGGAUGGUAUAGGUCUCACUCUGCUGGUAUUGAUGACUGGUAUAGGUCUCACUCUGCUGGUAUUGAUGGAUGGUAUAGGUCUCACUCUGCUGGUAUUGAUGGAU
This 358-nucleotide long non-coding RNA is filed under the name Salmo salar (Atlantic salmon). RNAcentral describes it as "lncRNA (ENSSSAG00000088788.1)". The record is from RNAcentral. Lineage: Eukaryota; Metazoa; Chordata; Actinopteri; Salmoniformes; Salmonidae.